ACAAUGAAGGAAGUUUUGAUUUUGCUUAUGUUGACGCUGACAAGAUAAAUUACCGCAACUAUCAUGAAAGACUGUUGAAAUUGUUGAAAGUUGGUGGCAUAGUUGUGUAUGAUAACACACUCUGGGGAGGGAGUGUUGCAAUGCCUGAGGAGCAGGUUGCAGAAGUGUGGAAAUCCAACCGGAACUCGGUAAUCGAGUUUAAUGAAGUCUUGGCAUCUGAUUCUCGCAUCCAAAUUUGCCUUACAC
RNAcentral lists this long non-coding RNA (246 nucleotides) under Daucus carota (carrot). RNAcentral describes it as "long non-coding RNA (DCAR_LNC002484)". Lineage: Eukaryota; Viridiplantae; Streptophyta; Magnoliopsida; Apiales; Apiaceae. The record is from RNAcentral.